CUGUGCCUCGAGGAUUAGUUUAAACAGGGGGCUAUAAAAGAUGUAACAGAUGCAAACUGUAACACAAGGGCCAUUAACCCUUUCUCUGCCGGGCACACUCAGUCCCCACGCCCCACACCUAUUGUCUCCUGUGCUAGAAGCUUUGCAGAAAACCUGGAAAGGGAAAUCCUGAAAUAAAGAAAUGGUCACACAAGUGUCUGGGAUGAAACAGCUGGCCUGUCUAUAUUCAUCCUGAGACACACGACUGCAUAUAAAUACAUGUUUAAUAAAGUUUAUAAUCACAGAAGUGAGGUGUUACUUCACACACAUACACACACAAAGAAUGAAAUAAAGAAAUGAAACUCGCUAAGCAGACAAAAACAGACAACUUUCUGCUUAGAAAACAGCCUUCUCGGUGGGAGAGGAUGAACUGCCAUGUCUAAGAGAAAGACUUGCCCCCGAAUUUGUAGGUCUGUAACUGACCAAGUUUUGUAAUUAUUAACAGGUCAAUAAAACUUUUCCUGGGCUGGAUAGCAAAGGACACCUUUGGUUACCUGAAUGAACAGGAUGAGAAAAUUAGAAAAGGAGGAUGGAGGACGAGCACACCAAAAAGGGAUAAAAAGAGAGAAAAGGGGAGGAAAAAAAACCUACCUGCGAAGUCUUGUUUGUAGUUUUGGCCAGAAAUGGUGAGAAGAAAAAGCAUGAAGAAGCCGCGAAGUGUGGGGGAGAAAAAGGUGGAAGCGAAGAAACAGCUCCCGGAGCAAACUGUACAAAAACCUCGCCAAGAGUGUCGGGAGGCAGGACCGUUAUUCCUGCAGAGCAGGAGAGAGACGAGAGACCCUGAAACACGCGCCACCUAUCUUUGUGGGGAGGGAUAAUUGAAGCGCCCUGAGCGUGAGCAUCAUGUGAAAACGUGAUCGCCAAGUUUCUCUCUGGGAAAGGAUCUGGGAUAGAUUAUACCUUGAAGUCUCCGCAAACGCUUUAGUGGAAGAAAUGAAAUUCCACCUCCCUCCCUUCCUCCUCUCCCUCCCUUUCGCCUUCGCCUCCCUCCCCCCUCCCUCCCUUCUCCCCCCCUCCACCCCCCCCUCCCCGCCCGUCAAGCCUUUGGCAUCAUUAUCCUCAUCACUAAAUCCUACAGAGUACAGGGCGGAAAACGGUGCACACCAUUCACAGAACUGGAGAACUCCAAGGGGCGAAAGUUAAAGGGAAAGAUCCCGGGUCCUCAAUCCAGAUAGUCUCUUCUUAUACAGAUAUCUCUAAUGACCAGAUUUGAGAUGCACAUCAAAUUGUGUAGGUAUCUCAGUACAGCUUCUGGAACAAAGUUCUCUGCCCUUUCUCUUAUUGUUAUUUUUUUCUUUUUAGGUACCAGAGCCAGAAAAAAAAAUGCUGCAUGGGAGCUGCAUCUUAGGGCAUGUGUAUUAGGGUGUGUGCAUGAUGAAUUUCUGGACUGGAUCCCAAUAUUAAAAAGUAGUUUGGCAUUUUAAUAAAGGGUCUCUAAGUAAAUUAAAAUAGAACACUCGGUUGGCCGAUCUCUGAAUCUCUCUACACCUCGGGGAGACCUCACUACAAAGUAAGGGAGAGUGUGUAGGGAGGCAGGAGGAGAAACGAGAAAGGCCAUAGAGAAACUUAGCAGGGAAGGGAGAGCAUGAUAUUAAACGGCAUGGGGUCUAAGUUUUGGAGUAUAUAUUUUUUGAUAUUACAAUUAAAGUAAGAUUAAAAAGAAAAG
RNAcentral lists this long non-coding RNA (1705 nucleotides) under Homo sapiens (human). Its description in RNAcentral is "HSALNT0040811". The stretch from base 32 to 159 matches the Rfam family "ZEB2 antisense RNA 1 conserved region 1". The record is from RNAcentral. Lineage: Eukaryota; Metazoa; Chordata; Mammalia; Primates; Hominidae.